UUCUUUUCUUCUUUCGUUCUUCUUCACUCGACUGAGUCUUCCCAGAAACGGAAAACCAAAGCCUAAAACCUAUCGAAGUCCCACCAUCACCUUCUAGUUUUACUUCUUCUUCUUCUUCUAGUUUGAUAAGUAACAAACCUAUCGAAGUCCUAAUCACUAAUCAGUCGAACGAAGCUGGAGUAGAACUGUAGAAGAAACCGAAAAUUGAAAAAGAUGAUUAAGUUAAGAGCAACAAAUAGAAACAAGAGAAAAGGAAUAAAAGAGUGUUUCACAACCUUGGGUAAUUCAUAUGUCAUUUUGAUUGUUGGAAUUAUGAUCAAAUAGAAGCAGCCUUAGUCAAGCUCUUGAAAGCACACAGGUUACCAUUACAAGUUUACAACCUCCGGUGGAAUACCAUUACAACCUCCUGUGGAAUGAGAUCUCUAUGUUGAUUUUCCAUCUCAUUUUUGAUUUUCACCAUUACAA
This is a long non-coding RNA of Papaver somniferum (opium poppy), 465 nucleotides long. RefSeq lists it as uncharacterized. The transcript is spliced from 3 exons. The record is from RefSeq and is a predicted model, not a curated record. Lineage: Eukaryota; Viridiplantae; Streptophyta; Magnoliopsida; Ranunculales; Papaveraceae.